UGGGGAAUAUUGGGCAAUGGGCGAAAGCCUGACCCAGCAACGCCGCGUGAGUGAUGAAGGCCUUCGGGUUGUAAAACUCUUUGGACAGGGACGAAGAAAGUGACGGUACCUGUAGAACAAGCCACGGCUAACUACGUGCCAGCAGCCGCGGUAAUACGUAGGUGGCGAGCGUUAUCCGGAUUUACUGGGCGUAAAGGGCGUGUAGGCGGCUAGAUAAGUGUGAUGUUUAAAUCCAAGGCUUAACCUUGGCGUUCAUUACAAACUGUUUAGCUUGAGUGCUGGAGAGGAUAGUGGAAUUCCUAGUGUAGCGGUAGAAUGCGUAGAUAAUAGGAGGAACACCGGUGGCGAAGGCGGCUAUAUGGACAGUAACUGACGCUGAGGCGCGAAAGCGUGGGGAGCAAACAGG
Molecule: ribosomal RNA, 406 nt
Filed under: Verrucomicrobiota bacterium
Lineage: Bacteria; Pseudomonadati; Verrucomicrobiota
Description: Verrucomicrobia bacterium partial 16S ribosomal RNA
Rfam family: Bacterial small subunit ribosomal RNA
Source: RNAcentral